Molecule: ribosomal RNA, 468 nt
Filed under: uncultured bacterium
Lineage: Bacteria
Description: partial 16S ribosomal RNA
Rfam family: Bacterial small subunit ribosomal RNA
Source: RNAcentral
GACGAACGCUGGCGGCGUGCUUAACACAUGCAAGUCGAACGGAAAGGCCCUGCUUUUGUGGGGUGCUCGAGUGGCGAACGGGUGAGUAACACGUGAGUAACCUGCCCUUGACUUUGGGAUAACUUCAGGAAACGGGGGCUAAUACCGGAUAGGAGCUCCUUCUGCAUGGUGGGGGUUGGAAAGGUUCGGCGGUUGGGGAUGGACUCGCGGCUUAUCAGCUUGUUGGUGGGGUAGUGGCUUACCAAGGCUUUGACGGGUAGCCGGCCUGAGAGGGUGACCGGCCACAUUGGGACUGAGAUAAGGCCCAGACUCCUAAGGGAGGGAGCAGUGGGGAAUAUUGCAACAUGGGGGGAAGCCUGAUGCCGCAACGCCGCGUGCGGGAUGACGGCCCUCGGGUUGUAAACCGCUUUCGCCUGUGACGAAGCGUGAGUGACGGUAAUGGGUAAAGAAGCAACGGCUAACUACGUG